This 483-nucleotide ribosomal RNA is filed under the name uncultured bacterium. RNAcentral's name for it is "bacterial LSU rRNA". It matches the Rfam family "Bacterial large subunit ribosomal RNA", at positions 444 to 924 of the family's 2925-position model. The record is from RNAcentral.
CUGCCAGCACCAUCUGGUAAGGCUAAAUACUUUUGAGAGACCGAUAGUGAACUAGUACUGUGAAGGAAAGGUGAAAGAACCGCGAACAGCGGAGUGAAAUAGAACCUGAAACCAUACGCUUACAAGCGGUCGGAGCAGCUACGUGCUGUGACGGCGUGCCUUUUGCAUAAUGAGCCUACGAGUUACUCCUCUCUAGCAAGGUUAAAGAUUUAAGAUCUGGAUCCGAAGCGAAAGCAAGUCUGAAUAGGGCGUAUAGUUAGAGGGGGUAGACGCGAAACCUUGUGAUCUACCCAUGACCAGGUUGAAGUUCCGGUAACACGGAAUGGAGGACCGAACUGAUAAGCGUUGAAAAGCUUCCGGAUGAGUUGUGGGUAGGGGUGAAAGGCUAAUCAAACUGGGAAAUAGCUCGUACUCCCCGAAAUGUUUUUAGGAACAGCGUUGAGGUUGAGUCUUAUAGAGGUAGAGCUACUGAUUGGACAAGGG